Molecule: ribosomal RNA, 349 nt
Filed under: uncultured Latescibacterota bacterium
Lineage: Bacteria; Pseudomonadati; Candidatus Latescibacterota
Description: bacterial SSU rRNA
Rfam family: Bacterial small subunit ribosomal RNA
Source: RNAcentral
AACGAACGCUGGCGGCGUGGAUUAGGCAUGCAAGUCGAACGUGAAAGUGCCGAAGGGGUAACCCGGAGGCGCGAGUAAAGUGGCGAACGGGUGAGUAACGCGUGGGAAACCUGCUCCAGGGUGGGGGAUAACAGCUCUAACGGGCUGCUAAUACCGCAUGAUGCCACGGAUCUCAUGAUCUUGUGGUUAAAGGAGGCCUCUAUUUAUAAGCUUCCGCUCCGGAAUGGUCCCGCGUUCUAUUAGCUUGUUGGUGGGUAACGGCCUACCAAGGCGACGAUGGAUAGCCGGCCUGAGAGGGUGGUCGGCCACACUGGGACUGAGAUACGGCCCAGACUCCUACGGGUGGCUG